UACGUAGGGGGCAAGCGUUGUCCGGAUUUAUUGGGCGUAAAGAGCGUGUAGGCGGCCAGGUAGGUCAGCUGUGAAAACUCGAGGCUCAACCUCGAGACGUCGGUUGAAACCACCUGGCUAGAGUCCGGAAGAGGAGAGUGGAAUUCCUGGUGUAGCGGUGAAAUGCGCAGAUAUCAGGAAGAACACCCGUGGCGAAGGCGGCUCUCUGGGAAGGUACUGACGCUGAGACGCGAAAGCGUGGGGAGCGAACAGG
Molecule: ribosomal RNA, 253 nt
Filed under: uncultured bacterium
Lineage: Bacteria
Description: partial 16S ribosomal RNA
Rfam family: Bacterial small subunit ribosomal RNA
Source: RNAcentral